RNAcentral lists this ribosomal RNA (101 nucleotides) under uncultured bacterium. RNAcentral describes it as "partial 16S ribosomal RNA". It matches the Rfam family "Bacterial small subunit ribosomal RNA", at positions 1386 to 1482 of the family's 1533-position model. The record is from RNAcentral.
CACACCGCCCGUCACGCCAUGGGAGUUGAUUUCACCCGAAGCCGGUGAGCUAACCUCUUACGAGGAGGCAGCCGUCCACGGUGGGAUUAGCGACUGGGGUG